This 301-nucleotide ribosomal RNA is filed under the name uncultured bacterium. RNAcentral describes it as "partial 16S ribosomal RNA". It matches the Rfam family "Bacterial small subunit ribosomal RNA", at positions 509 to 807 of the family's 1533-position model. The record is from RNAcentral.
CAGCAGCCGCGGUAAUACGAAGGGGGCUAGAGUUGUUCGGAAUUACUGGGCGUAAAGGGCGCGUGGGCGGCCAUUCAAGUUAGAUGUGAAAGCCCUGGGCUCAACCUAGGAAUUGCAUUUGAUACUGUUUGGCUUGAGUUCGGGAGAGGUGAGUGGAAUUCCCAGUGUAGAGGUGAAAUUCGUAGAUAUUGGGAAGAACACCAGUGGCGAAGGCGGCUUUCUGGACUGUAACUGACGCUGAGGCUCGAAAGCCAGGGGAGCGAACGGGAUUAGAUACCCCAGUAGUCCCUGUCUCUUAUAC